AGGUUUGGGCGGAGUGGGAGGGGAGGAUUGAGAAGGUGGAGAGGGCGGUUAGGAGAUUGGAGGGGAGGAGGGAGGAAUAAAAUGGGGUCUGUGUAGCCUGUCGGGGUCCGGGGAAGGGUAUAGAUAGUUCUUGGAUGGUUAUUUUCUUUCUCUAUCUUUCUCGUUUGUUUUGUUUGUUCCUGCUGCUUGUUAUGGGUUAUGGGAGUUGGGCGGUAGUUUGCAUGUAGCAUUUCUUUUUCUUUUUUUUUUUUUUUCUUUUUCUUUUUUUUGUUUUGCAUAUAUCUUAAAUCUUAUUGUUAUUGUAAAGUAUUACUCCAGAGUCCCUCGAAUGGUGGACCUAUGAAUCUCUCUAGACGGUUUACUCAUUCAGUUAUUUAUCCUAGACAACACAGGGCGGUGUCUUCUUUUUUUUUCUUUCUUUUCCUUUCCUUGCGGCC
This 437-nucleotide small RNA is filed under the name Histoplasma ohiense. Its description in RNAcentral is "hypothetical lncRNA". Lineage: Eukaryota; Fungi; Ascomycota; Eurotiomycetes; Onygenales; Ajellomycetaceae. The record is from RNAcentral.